RNAcentral lists this ribosomal RNA (1337 nucleotides) under uncultured bacterium. RNAcentral describes it as "bacterial SSU rRNA". It matches the Rfam family "Bacterial small subunit ribosomal RNA", at positions 28 to 1381 of the family's 1533-position model. The record is from RNAcentral.
GACGAACGCUGGCGGCGUGCUUAACACAUGCAAGUCGAACGGAAAGGCCCUUCGGGGUACUCGAGUGGCGAACGGGUGAGUAACACGUGGGUGAUCUGCCCUGCACUUUGGGAUAAGCCUGGGAAACUGGGUCUAAUACCGAAUAGGACCACGCGCUUCAUGGUGUGUGGUGGAAAGCUUUUGCGGUGUGGGAUGGGCCCGCGGCCUAUCAGCUUGUUGGUGGGGUAAUGGCCUACCAAGGCGACGACGGGUAGCCGGCCUGAGAGGGUGACCGGCCACACUGGGACUGAGAUACGGCCCAGACUCCUACGGGAGGCAGCAGUGGGGAAUAUUGCACAAUGGGCGCAAGCCUGAUGCAGCGACGCCGCGUGAGGGAUGACGGCCUUCGGGUUGUAAACCUCUUUCAAUAGGGACGAAGCGUGAGUGACGGUACCUAUAGAAGAAGCACCGGCCAACUACGUGCCAGCAGCCGCGGUAAUACGUAGGGUGCGAGCGUUGUCCGGAAUUACUGGGCGUAAAGAGCUCGUAGGUGGUUUGUCGCGUUGUUCGUGAAAACUCACAGCUUAACUGUGGGCGUGCGGGCGAUACGGGCAGACUAGAGUACUGCAGGGGAGACUGGAAUUCCUGGUGUAGCGGUGGAAUGCGCAGAUAUCAGGAGGAACACCGGUGGCGAAGGCGGGUCUCUGGGCAGUAACUGACGCUGAGGAGCGAAAGCGUGGGGAGCGAACAGGAUUAGAUACCCUGGUAGUCCGCGCCGUAAACGGUGGGUACUAGGUGUGGGUUCCUUCCUUGGGAUCCGUGCCGUAGCUAACGCAUUAAGUACCCCGCCUGGGGAGUACGGCCGCAAGGCUAAAACUCAAAGGAAUUGACGGGGGCCCGCACAAGUGGCGGAGCAUGUGGAUUAAUUCGAUGCAACGCGAAGAACCUUACCUGGGUUUGACAUGCACAGGACGCCGGCAGAGAUGUCGGUUCCCUUGUGGCCUGUGUGCAGGUGGUGCAUGGCUGUCGUCAGCUCGUGUCGUGAGAUGUUGGGUUAAGUCCCGCAACGAGCGCAACCCUUGUCCUAUGUUGCCAGCGGGUUAUGCCGGGGACUCGUAGGAGACUGCCGGGGUCAACUCGGAGGAAGGUGGGGAUGACGUCAAGUCAUCAUGCCCCUUAUGUCCAGGGCUUCACACAUGCUACAAUGGCCGGUACAAAGGGCUGCGAUGCCGUGAGGUGGAGCGAAUCCUUUCAAAGCCGGUCUCAGUUCGGAUCGGGGUCUGCAACUCGACCCCGUGAAGUCGGAGUCGCUAGUAAUCGCAGAUCAGCAACGCUGCGGUGAAUACGUUCCCGGGCCU